AGAGCGAACGCUGGCGGCAGGCUUAACACAUGCAAGUCGAGCGGGCGUAGCAAUACGUCAGCGGCAGACGGGUGAGUAACGCGUGGGAACAUACCUUUUGGUUCGGAACAACACAGGGAAACUUGUGCUAAUACCGGAUAAGCCCUUACGGGGAAAGAUUUAUCGCCGAAAGAUUGGCCCGCGUCUGAUUAGCUAGUUGGUGAGGUAAUGGCUCACCAAGGCGACGAUCAGUAGCUGGUCUGAGAGGAUGAUCAGCCACAUUGGGACUGAGACACGGCCCAAACUCCUACGGGAGGCAGCAGUGGGGAAUAUUGGACAAUGGGCGCAAGCCUGAUCCAGCCAUGCCGCGUGAGUGAUGAAGGCCCUAGGGUUGUAAAGCUCUUUGUGCGGGAAGAUAAUGACGGUACCGCAAGAAUAAGCCCGGCUAACUUCGCGCCAGCAGCCGC
This 446-nucleotide ribosomal RNA is filed under the name uncultured bacterium. RNAcentral's name for it is "SSU rRNA". It matches the Rfam family "Bacterial small subunit ribosomal RNA", at positions 26 to 518 of the family's 1533-position model. The record is from RNAcentral.